GGUCAAGUGAAGAAGCGCAUACGGUGGAUGCCUUGGCAGUCAGAGGCGAUGAAAGACGUGGUAGCCUGCGAAAAGCUUCGGGGAGUCGGCAAACAGACUUUGAUCCGGAGAUCUCUGAAUGGGGGAACCCACCUAGGAUAACCUAGGUAUCUUGUACUGAAUCCAUAGGUGCAAGAGGCGAACCAGGGGAACUGAAACAUCUAAGUACCCUGAGGAAAAGAAAUCAACCGAGAUUCCCUUAGUAGUGGCGAGCGAACGGGGAUUAGCCCUUAAGCUUCAUUGAUUUUAGCGGAACGCUCUGGAAAGUGCGGCCAUAGUGGGUGAUAGCCCCGUACGCGAAAGGAUCUUUGAAGUGAAAUCGAGUAGGACGGAGCACGAGAAACUUUGUCUGAACAUGGGGGGACCAUCCUCCAAGGCUAAAUACUACUGACUGACCGAUAGUGAACCAGUACCGUGAGGGAAAGGCGAAAAGAACCCCGGAGAGGGGAGUGAAAUAGAACCUGAAACCGUAUGCGUACAAGCAGUGGGAGCCUACUUGUUAGGUGACUGCGUACCUUUUGUAUAAUGGGUCAGCGACUUAUAUUCAGUGGCAAGCUUAACCGUAUAGGGUAGGCGUAGCGAAAGCGAGUCUUAAUAGGGCGUUUAGUCGCUGGGUAUAGACCCGAAACCGGGCGAUCUAUCCAUGAGCAGGUUGAAGGUUAGGUAACACUGACUGGAGGACCGAACCCACUCCCGUUGAAAAGGUAGGGGAUGACUUGUGGAUCGGAGUGAAAGGCUAAUCAAGCUCGGAGAUAGCUGGUUCUCCUCGAAAGCUAUUUAGGUAGCGCCUCAUGUAUCACUCUGGGGGGUAGAGCACUGUUUCGGCUAGGGGGUCAUCCCGACUUACCAAACCGAUGCAAACUCCGAAUACCCAGAAGUGCCGAGCAUGGGAGACACACGGCGGGUGCUAACGUCCGUCGUGAAAAGGGAAACAACCCAGACCGCCAGCUAAGGUCCCAAAGUUGUGGUUAAGUGGUAAACGAUGUGGGAAGGCUUAGACAGCUAGGAGGUUGGCUUAGAAGCAGCCACCCUUUAAAGAAAGCGUAAUAGCUCACUAGUCGAGUCGGCCUGCGCGGAAGAUGUAACGGGGCUCAAACCACACACCGAAGCUGCGGGUGUCACGUAAGUGACGCGGUAGAGGAGCGUUCUGUAAGCCUGUGAAGGUGAGUUGAGAAGCUUGCUGGAGGUAUCAGAAGUGCGAAUGCUGACAUGAGUAACGACAAUGGGUGUGAAAAACACCCACGCCGAAAGACCAAGGGUUCCUGCGCAACGUUAAUCGACGCAGGGUUAGUCGGUUCCUAAGGCGAGGCUGAAAAGCGUAGUCGAUGGGAAACAGGUUAAUAUUCCUGUACUUCUGGUUACUGCGAUGGAGGGACGGAGAAGGCUAGGCCAGCUUGGCGUUGGUUGUCCAAGUUUAAGGUGGUAGGCUGAAAUCUUAGGUAAAUCCGGGGUUUCAAGGCCGAGAGCUGAUGACGAGUCGUCUUUUAGAUGACGAAGUGGUUGAUGCCAUGCUUCCAAGAAAAGCUUCUAAGCUUCAGGUAACCAGGAACCGUACCCCAAACCGACACAGGUGGUCGGGUAGAGAAUACCAAGGCGCUUGAGAGAACUCGGGUGAAGGAACUAGGCAAAAUGGCACCGUAACUUCGGGAGAAGGUGCGCCGGCUAGGGUGAAGGAUUUACUCCGUAAGCUCUGGCUGGUCGAAGAUACCAGGCCGCUGCUCUUGAUCGAAGCCCCGGUAAACGGCGGCCGUAACUAUAACGGUCCUAAGGUAGCGAAAUUCCUUGUCGGGUAAGUUCCGACCUGCACGAAUGGCGUAACGAUGGCGGCGCUGUCUCCACCCGAGACUCAGUGAAAUUGAAAUCGCUGUGAAGAUGCAGUGUAUCCGCGGCUAGACGGAAAGACCCCGUGAACCUUUACUGUAGCUUUGCACUGGACUUUGAGCCUGCUUGUGUAGGAUAGGUGGGAGGCUUUGAAGCGUGGACGCCAGUUCGCGUGGAGCCAUCCUUGAAAUACCACCCUGGCAUGCUUGAGGUUCUAACUCUGGUCCGUGAUCCGGAUCGAGGACAGUGUAUGGUGGGCAGUUUGACUGGGGCGGUCUCCUCCUAAAGAGUAACGGAGGAGUACGAAGGUGCGCUCAGACCGGUCGGAAAUCGGUCGCAGAGUAUAAAGGCAAAAGCGCGCUUGACUGCGAGACAGACACGUCGAGCAGGUACGAAAGUAGGUCUUAGUGAUCCGGUGGUUCUGUAUGGAAGGGCCAUCGCUCAACGGAUAAAAGGUACUCCGGGGAUAACAGGCUGAUACCGCCCAAGAGUUCAUAUCGACGGCGGUGUUUGGCACCUCGAUG
This 2384-nucleotide ribosomal RNA is filed under the name Pseudomonas aeruginosa. RNAcentral describes it as "partial 23S ribosomal RNA". It matches the Rfam family "Bacterial large subunit ribosomal RNA", at positions 1 to 2531 of the family's 2925-position model. The record is from RNAcentral. Lineage: Bacteria; Pseudomonadati; Pseudomonadota; Gammaproteobacteria; Pseudomonadales; Pseudomonadaceae.